GAUGAAGAACGUAGUGAAAUGCGAUAAGUAGUGUGAAUUGCAGAAUUCCGUGAAUCAUCGAAUCUUUGAACGCACAUUGCGCCCGCCAGCAUUCUGGCGGGCAUGCCUGUUCGAGCGUCAUUUCAACCCUCGACGUCCCCUGGGACGUCGGCCUUGGGGACCGGCAGCACCCCGCCGGCCCUGAAAUGGAGUGGCGGCCCGUCCGCGGCGACCUCUGCGCAGUACAACCACUCGCACCGGGAACCCGACGCGGCCCGCCGUGAAACCCCCAACCUCUGAACGUUGACCUCGGAUCAGGUAGGACUACCCGCUGAACUUAAGCAUAUCAAUAAGCGGAGGA
RNAcentral lists this unclassified non-coding RNA (340 nucleotides) under soil metagenome. RNAcentral's name for it is "partial contains 5.8S ribosomal RNA, internal transcribed spacer 2, and large subunit ribosomal RNA". The stretch from base 1 to 120 matches the Rfam family "5.8S ribosomal RNA", at positions 35 to 154 of the family's 154-position model. The record is from RNAcentral.